Molecule: transfer RNA, 71 nt
Filed under: Minisyncoccota bacterium
Lineage: Bacteria; Bacillati; Minisyncoccota
Description: tRNA-Gly
Rfam family: tRNA
About the family: Transfer RNA (tRNA) molecules are approximately 80 nucleotides in length. Their secondary structure includes four short double-helical elements and three loops (D, anti-codon, and T loops).
Source: RNAcentral
GCGGCCAUGGUUAAGUGGUAUAAUGAGUCCUUGCCAAGGAUUAGUGGAGGGUUCGAUUCCCUCUGGCCGCA